GAUGAACGCUGGCGGCGUGCCUAAUACAUGCAAGUCGAGCGAACGGACGAGAAGCUUGCUUCUCUGAUGUUAGCGGCGGACGGGUGAGUAACACGUGGAUAACCUACCUAUAAGACUGGGAUAACUUCGGGAAACCGGAGCUAAUACCGGAUGAUAUUUUGAACCGCAUGGUUCAAAAGUGAAAGACGGUCUUGCUGUCACUUAUAGAUGGAUCCGCGCUGCAUUAGCUAGUUGGUAAGGUAACGGCUUACCAAGGCAACGAUGCAUAGCCGACCUGAGAGGGUGAUCGGCCACACUGGAACUGGGACACGGUCCAGACUCCUACGGGAGGCAGCAGUAGGGAAUCUUCCGCAAUGGGCGAAAGCCUGACGGAGCAACGCCGCGUGAGUGAUGAAGGUCUUCGGAUCGUAAAACUCUGUUAUUAGGGAAAAACAUAUGUGUAAGUAACUGUGCACAUCUUGACGGUACCUAAUCAGAAAGCCACGGCUAACUACGUG
RNAcentral lists this ribosomal RNA (497 nucleotides) under uncultured bacterium. Its description in RNAcentral is "partial 16S ribosomal RNA". It matches the Rfam family "Bacterial small subunit ribosomal RNA", at positions 28 to 507 of the family's 1533-position model. The record is from RNAcentral.